Molecule: long non-coding RNA, 2622 nt
Organism: Notothenia coriiceps (black rockcod)
Lineage: Eukaryota; Metazoa; Chordata; Actinopteri; Perciformes; Nototheniidae
Exons: 3
Source: RefSeq, a predicted model, not a curated record
GCUGCCGCUGCUGCAGCUGAUGGGAGACGUGGAGGACCAGAGGGCGGCGGCCAUCUUGGGACCCGUCAUCGUGCACUGCAGCGCCGGGAUUGGACGGACCGGAUGCUUCAUUGCCACGACGAUAGGUUGUCGACAGCUGCAGCUGGAGGGCUUCGUCGACGUGCUGAGUAUCACCUGCCGCCUGCGAGCAGACAGAGGAGGUAUGAUUCAGACAGGUGAGCAGUACGAGUUCGUCCAUCACGCUCUGAGUCUGUACGAGUCCCGCCUCUCCGCAGAAACCGGCCAAUGAGAGCGCAGUGCCACAGCAGGCGUCGGUUUGAACCAGGAAUUGCUCUGACAUAAAGCGAGUCAUUUGUAGAGCUUUACGAUUGACGGACACCUCGGACAGCCAAUCAGGAGUGAUGUGGGCGGAGCCUGUUGAAGGGAAGAUGGAAGGUAAAUUCUGGAAAGGGGAAUCUAUCCGUUCUUCUUCUUCUUCUCUGCCGUUUCUUCUUCGUGUUUUUUGGCGAGCGUUUCUUCAGAGGAGCUCAAAGACUCGCUUCUCUUCGGAUCGUGUUUUUAUUCACUAACCAGUAUGUCCCGUUACCUUUUUUUUCCUGUCACGGAGACGUAGAAAUAAUAGUCUGAAGUCGAUGGUUCAAUAACACUGUUGUGUUUUAUGUGUCUUAUAGGGUUUCAAAUGUUUUUAUAAUCGUGAUGUUCUGAUAUAACAAUGGCUGUUGGUAAAAUGACUGUUAGCUGGUUGCACCUUUGGUUACUCGACCAUCAAUGAACCAACAUCUCCUCGCCGCUUUUGUGACAUCUGCACUUCCUACGUUACUCCAUGAUUCACCUACGAAACGUUUUAAAGUCUAUCCAGCACCAUGAUGUAUCUAUAAAGUCAUUUUCAUGGUUUCACAGGUCUAAAAACUACAAACUCAUCCGAAAUACUACAUUUAUCAAACUUACCCUGAAAUGCUAGCUUGCUAACUAGCAAACACACUAAUCUUGACCCUUGUGCCUUAAUAGGGACAUUUCUGGCUGUUUAAUUUUACAUUUUUAAAAUAAUUUUAUUGAUCAAAAUUGUGAAUUCAGCCCCGAUAAUAAGUGAAUAUCCAAAAUGCAGCCUGCCGAAGCCAAAAAGGACAGAAAAGUCCCCAUUAAAACCAUUUAUUUAUUAUCAAAUUACCUCUUAAUAUCCUGCUCUGUAUUAUCCAUCUACAGCCCCUGCUCCUACAUUUUACUUUUUACUUUUUUUCUUACAUUUCUGCAGUAACGUAUGAAAUGCUGACGUCACAAAUGGAGCCAACGUUAGCCAUAGAUCACUAGCGAAAAGCUAACACACCAAUGUAAAGCUAAUAAGUUAAUGCUAAGCUAGUUCUCGUAAUACAGCAAUCUCCAUAGAGGCUAAUGCUAGUUUUAGUAACUCAGUGUUCGUCUGCAUUAAUGUCAAUAAAUGGAUGCUAAGCUAUAAGCUCAUGCUACUAUUAGCUCGCUAUGCUAAUCAAUAUUGUUUUAAAAACAAUUAUAUCUAGUAUUUAACUGCUAAAUAGUAAUUUGUUAAUUGUUUGUUACAACUAUUUUAUUUGUUUAAGUACAGCUCCCAUAAGGCGUUUACUAAUAUGAUGGGAGUUGUAGUUUUUAAAUAAUAAAACGUGUCUUUUAUUUUAAAUAAUGGACACAAAAUCAAGCUUUUAGAAAAACAAAUGAAUACAUAUAUUAUUAAAAAAAGAUGGAGGCUAGUUAAGCCAAUUACUCAGUCACAAUUUAUUUGAUCAAUCAAUUAAAUAUAAUUAAUGAACUACAUAUUUUUGCUGAGAAAUGUUGUGCUGCUAGUAGUUAGCCUUGUUUCCUGCUUUGACAAUUAUCCUGUUGUGUAAUAUUAUAUUGCUUUAUACCAAAAAUGUGAAAUUAUUUACGUCACGAUGGUGCAGUCAUCUCAUCGAUGUGCUGUUGUAAAAUCUAGUGUUACUUAUGGUGUAUCAAAGUAAUAACAACUUUAUUUUUAUACUGUUUUUACAUGUUUUUGAUGUGUUUUAGCAUUUGUCGACGCAAAUUUGGGGGUACUAAACUCACCACAUCUCUUAAUCAUGAAUUUAACUGUCCCAAACUGCAUAUUUUAGAAUAAAAUGUGAAACAAAAAUGGGGUGGUUUUUGUCAAUUAACAUUGUACAGUACAUGUAAAAGUGCUAUUAAUGUGGGACGUCCUGUUUCCAAUCCACGGAUUACAAACAAACACGGAAAACUUGCUGCUAAAACUGGGACCAUUUGGGAGCGUCAGGACCGCUGACGGACAGUAACCGAGAGAAACUUUAAAGACUCUUCUUUUUCUAUGUAUUUUUGUAUUUAUUCCUUUUUUCUUGUAAUACAAUCAAAAGUGUUUCUGAGUGUGUCUUCACGGGACCAUCAUCAACACAAUUUCCCACUUCAAUUCAGGAUCGAUUUCCAACCCAAAAUGGCUCAAAUUUGGCAAAUACAGUGGUGCAGUGACCCUGAAGGCAGCAUCUCCCCGGUCCAAUGGGAUUUCUAGAUGUGAUUUUGGGAUUAAUGCAGAAAACAAUCUCUGUGGCAAACCACUGCUAAGCUAAAGGCGGCUAAUGUUGGGCUAUAAAGGAACUACAGCACGGUCACAUGACUUCACGU